Molecule: ribosomal RNA, 253 nt
Filed under: uncultured bacterium
Lineage: Bacteria
Description: partial 16S ribosomal RNA
Rfam family: Bacterial small subunit ribosomal RNA
Source: RNAcentral
UACAGGGGGUGCAAACGUUGCUCGGAAUCAUUGGGCGUAGAGCGCACGUAGGCGGUCUGUUAUGUCGGAUGUGAAAGCCCUUGGCUCAACUGAGGAAGUGCAUCCGAAACUGGCAGGCUAGAGUACUAAAGAGGAUCGCGGAAUUCCCGGUGUAGAGGUGAAAUUCGUAGAUAUCGGGAGGAACACCGGUGGCGAAGGCGGCGAUCUGGGUAGAUACUGACGCUGAGGUGCGAAAGCCAGGGGAGCAAACGGG